UACGAAGGGUGCAAGCGUUAAUCGGAAUUACUGGGCGUAAAGCGUGCGUAGGCGGUUGCUUAAGUCAGAUGUGAAAGCCCUGGGCUCAACCUGGGAAUGGCAUUUGAAACUGGGCAGCUAGAGUGUGAUAGAGGAUGGCGGAAUUCCGGGUGUAGUGGUGGAAUGCGUAGAGAUCCGGAGGAACACCAGCGGCGAAGGCGGCAUCCUGGACUGGUCCUGACACUCAAGAGCGAAAGCGUGGGAGCGAGUCCGG
Molecule: ribosomal RNA, 253 nt
Filed under: uncultured bacterium
Lineage: Bacteria
Description: partial 16S ribosomal RNA
Rfam family: Bacterial small subunit ribosomal RNA
Source: RNAcentral